GAUUAAGUUAUUAAGGGCGCACGGUGGAUGCCUUGGCACUAGAAGCCGAUGAAGGACGUUACUAACGACGAUAUGCUUUGGGGAGCUGUAAGUAAGCGUUGAUCCAGAGAUUUCCGAAUGGGGAAACCCAGCAUGAGUUAUGUCAUGUUAUCGAUAUGUGAAUACAUAGCAUAUCAGAAGGCAGACCCGGAGAACUGAAACAUCUUAGUACCCGGAGGAAGAGAAAGAAAAAUCGAUUCCCUGAGUAGCGGCGAGCGAAACGGGAARAGCCCAAACCAACAAGCUUGCUUGUUGGGGUUGUAGGACACUCUAUACGGAGUUACAAAAGUAUAUAUUAGACGAAUCAUCUGGAAAGUUGAAUCAAAGAAGGUAAUAAUCCUGUAGUCGAAAAUAUAUACUCUCUUGAGUGGAUCCUGAGUACGACGGAGCACGUGAAAUUCCGUCGGAAUCUGGGAGGACCAUCUCCUAAGGCUAAAUACUCUCUAGUGACCGAUAGUGAACCAGUACCGUGAGGGAAAGGUGAAAAGUACCCCGGAAGGGGAGUGAAAGAGAACUUGAAACCGUGUGCUUACAAGUAGUCAGAGCCCGUUAAUGGGUGAUGGCGUGCCUUUUGUAGAAUGAACCGGCGAGUUACGAUUUGAUGCAAGGUUAAGCAGYUAAUGUGGAGCCGUAGCGAAAGCGAGUCUGAAUAGGGCGUUUAGUAUUUGGUCGUAGACCCGAAACCAGGUGAUCUACCCUUGGUCAGGUUGAAGUUCAGGUAACACUGAAUGGAGGACCGAACCGACUUACGUUGAAAAGUGAGCGGAUGAACUGAGGGUAGCGGAGAAAUUCCAAUCGAACUUGGAGAUAGCUGGUUCUCUCCGAAAUAGCUUUAGGGCUAGCCUCAAGUGAUGAUUAUUGGAGGUAGAGCACUGUUUGGACGAGGGGCCCUUCUCGGGUUACCGAAUUCAGACAAACUCCGAAUGCCAAUCAAUUUAACUUGGGAGUCAGAACAUGGGUGAUAAGGUCCGUGUUCGAAAGGGAAACAGCCCAGACCACCAGCUAAGGUCCCAAAAUAUAUGUUAAGUGGAAAAGGAUGUGGCGUUGCCCAGACAACUAGGAUGUUGGCUUAGAAGCAGCCAUCAUUUAAAGAGUGCGUAAUAGCUCACUAGUCGAGUGACACUGCGCCGAAAAUGUACCGGGGCUAAACAUAUUACCGAAGCUGUGGAUUGUCCGUAGGACAAUGGUAGGAGAGCGUUCUAAGGGCGUCGAAGCAUGAUCGCAAGGACAUGUGGAGCGCUUAGAAGUGAGAAUGCCGGUGUGAGUAGCGAAAGACGGGUGAGAAUCCCGUCCACCGAUUGACUAAGGUUUCCAGAGGAAGGCUCGUCCGCUCUGGGUUAGUCGGGUCCUAAGCUGAGGCCGACAGGCGUAGGCGAUGGAUAACAGGUUGAUAUUCCUGUACCACCUAGUAUCGUUUUAAUCGAUGGGGGGACGCAGUAGGAUAGGCGAAGCGUGCUAUUGGAUUGCACGUCCAAGCAGUAAGACUGAGUGUUAGGCAAAUCCGGCACUCAUAAGGUCAAGCUGUGAUGGGGAGAGGAAAUUGUUUCCUCGAGUCGUUGAUUUCACACUGCCAAGAAAAGCCUCUAGAUAGAUAACAGGUGCCCGUACCGCAAACCGACACAGGUAGUCAAGAUGAGAAUUCUAAGGUGAGCGAGCGAACUCUCGUUAAGGAACUCGGCAAAAUGACCCCGUAACUUCGGGAGAAGGGGUGCUCUUUAGGGUUAACGCCCAGAAGAGCCGCAGUGAAUAGGCCCAAGCGACUGUUUAUCAAAAACACAGGUCUCUGCUAAACCGUAAGGUGAUGUAUAGGGGCUGACGCCUGCCCGGUGCUGGAAGGUUAAGAGGAGUAGUUAGCUUCUGCGAAGCUACGAAUCGAAGCCCCAGUAAACGGCGGCCGUAACUAUAACGGUCCUAAGGUAGCGAAAUUCCUUGUCGGGUAAGUUCCGACCCGCACGAAAGGCGUAACGAUUUGGGCACUGUCUCAACGAGAGACUCGGUGAAAUCAUAGUACCUGUGAAGAUGCAGGUUACCCGCGACAGGACGGAAAGACCCCGUGGAGCUUUACUGUAGCCUGAUAUUGAAAUUCGGCACAGCUUGUACAGGAUAGGUAGGAGCCUUUGAAACGUGAGCGCUAGCUUACGUGGAGGCAUUGGUGGGAUACUACCCUAGCUGUGUUGGCUUUCUAACCCGCACCACUUAUCGUGGUGGGAGACAGUGUCAGGUGGGCAGUUUGACUGGGGCGGUCGCCUCCUAAAAGGUAACGGAGGCGCUCAAAGGUUCCCUCAGAAUGGUUGGAAAUCAUUCAUAGAGUGUAAAGGCAUAAGGGAGCUUGACUGCGAGACUUACAAGUCGAGCAGGGUCGAAAGACGGACUUAGUGAUCCGGUGGUUCCGCAUGGAAGGGCCAUCGCUCAACGGAUAAAAGCUACCCCGGGGAUAACAGGCUUAUCUCCCCCAAGAGUUCACAUCGACGGGGAG
This 2515-nucleotide ribosomal RNA is filed under the name Staphylococcus warneri. Its description in RNAcentral is "partial 23S ribosomal RNA". It matches the Rfam family "Bacterial large subunit ribosomal RNA", at positions 1 to 2515 of the family's 2925-position model. The record is from RNAcentral. Lineage: Bacteria; Bacillati; Bacillota; Bacilli; Caryophanales; Staphylococcaceae.